Solanum dulcamara is the source of this 4829-nucleotide long non-coding RNA. RefSeq lists it as uncharacterized. The transcript is spliced from 4 exons. The record is from RefSeq and is a predicted model, not a curated record. Lineage: Eukaryota; Viridiplantae; Streptophyta; Magnoliopsida; Solanales; Solanaceae.
UAACCCAAUUUCCAGUCCCCAUUUUUCCCUCAACCAAAAAUUACUCCCUUUUCAAAUACUAUACCCACCACAACAUGUCCAAUUCCGAGAUCCCACCAAAAGCCAACGCACAACCAACAUACAGCAAACCCAUUUCCCUUUUCCCCAAAUAGUCCACCGCGUACACCUAUGCGCACACCCGCGUAUACGUACAUAUGCGUAUACCCUCGUCGUCUUCUCCAACGUUCACCCGACAACAGUACAUAGCUGUUUCCCCACCCUGCAAUCUCAUCCUUUGGCUUGUAAGAUUGAACCACGUAAUGGCUUCAAGACGCUUCUAUUCAAUCCUAAUGGUCCAUCUCUCCUCGAAUUCGCCCGAAUUUGUUGAAGAUUUGGGAUUUCUGGAAGGAAUUUGGGUAUAUUCCUUAUCUGAAAGGAAGGAAUUUAAAUUUUGAAUUUCGGAAUUUCAUCUGAAAGCCCACUUUUCCUCUCAUUUUUUGAACCCCAAUCCCGGUCUAUAAAUGCCCUCUCCUCUGUCAUUAUUUGGGUUGGAAAAAAAAGAGAGGAAGACAAGAGUUAGAUACAGACGAAUUAAGAGCUAAAAAAUUCAAGCAAUAGAGUGUUCACAUAACUAGUAAGGUUCUGAGAUAGAAAUCUGGGGAAAUUUGGUUUCUUAUUCCUAAGAAGCUUCAUCGAAAUCCUUGGAGUUCAUCUUUUUCAGAUGAAAGGUUCAUUUUCGUCUGACUCGUUUCCUCCCAGUCGCUGCAUGAGAAGAGGAACCGACGUUGCUCCACAUUCACCUCCACAUGGCUAGUUAAUUGCGUUGAAAACUACUACUUUGAUCAUGCCUCCUAGAAAAGUUCCUCCACCUAGAGCAAAGGUUGAUGAUGAGGACCAAGCUCCUACAGUUCCUGAGGCUCCACAUUAUGAGGAAAGAGUCACACAUACCGAGUUUCAGAACAUUAUCACAUAUUGGCUCAAGUCGUAGCCAACCAAAAUAAUCAAGGCAUUGUUCCUCCUCCUUAAGUGACCACUCCGGCUUCUAGAAUUCGAGACUUCAAGAGAAUGAAUCCGCCCGAGUUUGAUGGUUCUAAAGUAGAUGAGGACCCUAUGGAGUUUAUUGAGGAGGUUUACCAAAUCGUGGCUAUAAUAGGUGUCCCUCCAAAUGAGAAGGCCGAGCUAGUGGCCUAUCAACUCAAAGGAGUGGAAAGGGUUUGGUAUGGGCAAUGGAUUAUUGAGAGGAGUAAAGAUGUGGAGCCUAUAGAAUGGGAAGAAUUCAAGGGAGCUUUCCUAGAUCGUUUCUUUCCUUUAUAACUAAGAGAAAUAAAGAUUCAAGAGUUCAUAAAUCUUUGCCAAGGAGCCGUGAGUGUGAGGGAAUAUGCCCUCAAAUUCCUUAAAUUGUCUAAGUAUGCUGCUUUCAUGGUCUCCGACCCGAGGGUGAGGAUAAGCAAGUUUAUUUCCGGUGUUUCUAGCUUGGUAUCCAAAGAGUGCAAGAUGGCCAUGUCGGUCAAGGAAAUAGACAUCUCCCAACUCAUGAUAUAUACGAAACAAAUUGAGGAUGAGAAGUUGAGGGAGAGGUCAAAAGGGUUCAAGAAGGCUAGAGUUGAUGGUGGAGGGUUCAAUCAAAGGUCCGGCUACAGUGGUAGCGGAAAGGGACAAGGUAGAUAAUUAUUCAUGGGCAAGGUUCCACCAAUGCUCCUCCUCCAAGUUUAAAUAAGGACAAGGUCCCUAAUCUGGUGGUUCCAAGGGAGAACGUUGGUGCUCAAACCUUUCCAGCUUGCAAGAAGUGUGGGAAGACUCACAAAGGGAAAUUCUUAGCCGGCUCCAAUGGAUUCUUCAAAUGUGGUAAAUUGGUUCAUCAUGCUAGGGAUUGUACAGGUGGUGGUGGUGUUAGGCCUCAAGGUCAAAUUGCUCACAGUCAACAAGCUCAAGCAUUGGAUGGGAAUUCCAUUAGUUACACUGCGUCUGGAACGUCUAGUUUGGUCUAGUUGAGUGUUGACUUAGAACCCUAGGACCUUAGGAUUUGUUUUGCAUACUCACAGUCAACAAGCUCAAGCAUUGGAUGGGAAUUCCAUUAGUUACACUGCGUCUGGAACGUCUAGUUUGGUCUAGUUGAGUGUUGACUUAGAACCCUAGGACCUUAGGAUUUGUUUUGCAUAUUUAGGCUAAAAGUUGAGUUUUAUGCCUAAAAGAGGCUCGAGAGGGUAUUUUCAUCAUAACACUAUUGUUUUGGAUAUCCGUCUAUUCCAUUAGUUCCUAAAUAUGUUAUAUAAUCAAUUUGCACUAUUAGUUCGUGUUUAUAGAAUUUUGGAUGAGUUUCGAAGGUUAAAAAGAUAUUUUGAAGGCUGCUGGUGCAAUAUUUUAGUGACGAAAAAAUAGACCUUUAGCGACAGAAAAUGGGUUUUAGCGAUGAAAUCGUUGUGUUAAAAAUCUAUCCAAACCCGUUUCAUAUUUUUGACAUUUUGGAAGCUAGAAAGGUCCGUUUGAGGUGAUUUUCGAUGCAUUUUUCUCCCAUAAUUAUUGCGUACAUAUUUCUAACCUUAUUUUACUCAUUUCCUAAGAAUAUCUCUUUCAUAUUUUGUGAUUUCUAUUCACAAAGUGAAAAUUUUAAACCCCAAAGUAAAAUAAAAAAUUGUUGAUUUGAAGAUGAUUUAAAAUGGCUUUUCAUUGAUUUUUGGGAUUUAAUGUCCUUGUAUUGUGGGUAAACUGAUUUUGACAAAGGUCUUUCAAGUUUUUUCAUUAAGCUUCGUUGCAAAUAUGGGUUUUGGGGUUACUUCUUCAAGUUGGAACAUUAGUAAUUCUCUUAUUUGGAGCUCAAUUUUUACUUAAUAUUAAUGGAUUUUUCAAUGCCAAACGCCUGUUUACUUGUAGAACGUGAUUUUUAAAUAAAAUUAUAAUUUUGACCUAGUCGAUUUCAUAGAGGAUUUUGUACCAUUUUACCCUGAUUCUAAAGCCUUGCAAUAUGGGUAUCAUUAGACUCCUUUUGAUAAACACUUUAUAUUCUUGAUAGUUGGUGACCGUUAUGGAGUCGGUGUUUGUGAGUAGACCUCCAAUUAGAGUGUCCGAUCCUUUUUUGGCCUUCAAGGUAGGUUUGGCUAUCCUUUUUUGAGACUGCGGAUGGGUAAUUAGUCAUUCAGAUGUUAUAGACUUUGCGAUGGGGUCGUAAUGUGAAUUUGGACUAUUGUUUAUAUUGUGAUACCCAUGUGGGAGGUUGAUCAUUACUGUGUUACCUGUGUGGGGGCUUAUUUGUGUGGUUUAGCUCGUAUGGGGGCAUUAUUUACUAUUCUAUUUGCUUUGAGAGCAUGCAAUUCAUGAUUUUCUUGUGAAAUAUUCUUGUAACACUAUUUGACUUAUAAUGCCCACUGAGGGAUUGAGUUGGGGGUUUUGAUCACACUUGAGCAAUGAAAUACUUUCCAAAUGGAUGAACACUUAUUUUAAUGUAUUUCCUUCCCAUUACUAUCUAUUGAGGGUGUGUAUCAUGUUUCGAUUGAGUAUUGAGAACUUUGAACCUUAUAUUACAUAUUGAGUUGAGUAUUGCCUCCAUACCAUAUGUGUUGUGAUUUAUUCAUCCUCAUUCAUCGUACUAUUGGUCUUGGAAAGUUGAGAAAUGUGGAAAUUCUUUUUAAGAAAGAAAAUGUGACACCUUUUUAUAUCUUUGACAAGUGCUAGGUGGCAACUUGAUGGGAUAUUGAGAUUAUGAUUUGGUAUAUGGACUGCGAGUCCCUCACGGGUCCUUUUCUGGAAGCCUUAGCUCGACAGGUGUAUACGAUAGGUUGUGCGACAAUUUUGAUUCCACUGUACCACCACACAAUUGCAUCAUCUCAUUGCAUUGCUGUUUGGAUUAUUUGACUAUUUGAUCAUAUAUGAUAUUAAACUGUCCCUUUGCCUUUACCUUACUCACAUUGUUCUAUAUAAAUUUAUGGCAUCGAUGGUGGAAUGAGACUUUUCUUUAUGCUGGUGGAAAUGUUCCUUAGUUUAUUUUAUAAUUAUGAUUAAAUUCAUAUACUCAGUCAGUCAAAUCUACUGAGUACAUGUGAAUUGUACUCACCCCUACUUCUGUGUAACUUUUGAUGCAGAUUUUAGUUAGGGUACUCCUCGUUGCGGUUGAUCAUAAGUAGUGGACGGGUGAUUUUGGACUUAUGGAAAAUUAAGUCGAGCCCAUGAAAUAACAAAUCUGCUAAAAAACCCAUCAAAGCUGAUGACCACGAGUGCCACCACAGGCCGUGAAUCCUUAUACAGCUUGUGCAGGAUGACUGUUAAAGGUUAGGUGCUGAAAAAAAUGUAAAGAAGGUGUGCCAAGUAAAACUCCAUGAGAUCCUUGACCGUCCGUAAUGUCCAUCAUGAAUGGUGGGACUUGACCGUUAAAGGAGCUAUGAUAAAACCUAAGAAAUUCUCCAAAAUACAUUAAGAUGGAACCCUAUAUGGGUUGUGUAAGUGUUCACAGAUCCUGAACGUGAGGUGUGAUAAUCAAAAGUAGAAAAUAAUAGAGGAGCUUGUAUAAGGCCCUCCAUAAAUGGUGAAGCUCUUAACGGAUCGUGAGGGUGCCUGUGGAGGAGGUAUGAAGAAACUCAGCUGAAAUCCAAGUCAAAGACAUUACGUAUGUAUAUGGCUCGAGAAGUUGAAUACAGAUCGUGAAGACCAAUCCUGAACCUGACCCGAAUUAUGUUUUCCUAUUUAGUUUAGGAUUUGGUUUUGUACUUCUAUAAAUAUCCCAUUUAGGUUUUAUUUUGAGGGGAACACAGUUAUGUGCUUGGAAUGCCUUUUGAGUAUUGUAAACAUUGUGAGAAUAUACUUCGACUACUUUUCAAGAUUCAAACGUGCAAUCUAAUCUUUUGUUUUUUCUUGAUUCA